Molecule: ribosomal RNA, 827 nt
Filed under: Limosilactobacillus reuteri
Lineage: Bacteria; Bacillati; Bacillota; Bacilli; Lactobacillales; Lactobacillaceae
Description: bacterial SSU rRNA
Rfam family: Bacterial small subunit ribosomal RNA
Source: RNAcentral
CGAAGGCGGCUGUCUGGUCUGCAACUGACGCUGAGGCUCGAAAGCAUGGGUAGCGAACAGGAUUAGAUACCCUGGUAGUCCAUGCCGUAAACGAUGAGUGCUAGGUGUUGGAGGGUUUCCGCCCUUCAGUGCCGGAGCUAACGCAUUAAGCACUCCGCCUGGGGAGUACGACCGCAAGGUUGAAACUCAAAGGAAUUGACGGGGGCCCGCACAAGCGGUGGAGCAUGUGGUUUAAUUCGAAGCUACGCGAAGAACCUUACCAGGUCUUGACAUCUUGCGCUAACCUUAGAGAUAAGGCGGUUCCCUUCGGGGACGCAAUGACAGGUGGUGCAUGGUCGUCGUCAGCUCGUGUCGUGAGAUGUUGGGUUAAGUCCCGCAACGAGCGCAACCCUUGUUACUAGUUGCCAGCAUUGAGUUGGGCACUCUAGUGAGACUGCCGGUGACAAACCGGAGGAAGGUGGGGACGACGUCAGAUCAUCAUGCCCCUUAUGACCUGGGCUACACACGUGCUACAAUGGACGGUACAACGAGUUGCAAACUCGCGAGAGCAAGCUAAUCUCUUAAAGCCGUUCUCAGUUCGGACUGUAGGCUGCAACUCGCCUACACGAAGUCGGAAUCGCUAGUAAUCGCGGAUCAGCAUGCCGCGGUGAAUACGUUCCCGGGCCUUGUACACACCGCCCGUCACACCACGGGAGUUUGUAACGCCCAAAGUCGGUGGCCUAACCUUUGUGGAGGGAGCCGCCUAAGGCGGGACAGAUGACUGGGGUGAAGUCGUAACAAGGUAGCCGUAGGAGAACCUGCGGCUGGAUCACCUCCUUUCUAAGGAA